AACGCACAUUGCGCCCCCUGGUAUUCCGGGGGGCAUGCCUGUCCGAGCGUCAUUGCUGCCCUCAAGCCCGGCUUGUGUGUUGGGCCGCCGUCCCCCCUCCGCGGGGGACGGGCCCGAAAGGCAGCGGCGGCACCGCGUCCGGUCCUCGAGCGUAUGGGGCUUUGUCACCCGCUCUGUAGGCCCGGCCGGCGCCUGCCGACCACUCCAAUCUUCUUCAGGUUGACCUCGGAUCAGGUAGGGAUACCCGCUGAACUUAA
Molecule: unclassified non-coding RNA, 257 nt
Filed under: uncultured fungus
Lineage: Eukaryota; Fungi
Description: partial contains 5.8S ribosomal RNA, internal transcribed spacer 2, and large subunit ribosomal RNA
Rfam family: 5.8S ribosomal RNA (bases 1-52)
Source: RNAcentral